GGACCCUCAACGAGCAACCACUUCUUUUUUAAAGGCUGCUGCACAAAUCAAGCCAGCAUUUUCAAUCAUGGUGCAGCACUGAGGGACAAACAUAAUACAAGAAGAGCCAAAAUUAAAUUUUCUUUCUGUAGAUGUUAUUGACAUUUUAUUUGUGAUAAUAAGUGUGAGCUCAGAUUGUUCUGUUUAGUGAAGCAAAUGAGAAGUUUUUGCGAAUUACCUGGGUGGAGGGAAUGUGGAUAGCUUGUUCUGUGAUGGGUAUGGGCAUCUUUAACAGGCGUUACAUCCUCGAUUAUGCACCCAGAUUUUUGUUGAAUUUUAAAUGAAUAUUGUAGUCC
RNAcentral lists this long non-coding RNA (335 nucleotides) under Citrus sinensis (sweet orange). Its description in RNAcentral is "long non-coding RNA (CSIN_LNC000849)". Lineage: Eukaryota; Viridiplantae; Streptophyta; Magnoliopsida; Sapindales; Rutaceae. The record is from RNAcentral.